UUUGGAUUGUGAGCUCGGAAAACAAUCCAACUGUAAUCCGCGGGAUUAUAGUGAAUUCCCAAGGGGACGCUUGGGAAGUGGACGUAGGUGCUAAAGAGAGCACCGAACCACUAUAUAUUGUUGUGUUUGUGUUGUGCUUGUGCUUACGUUUAUUCUUGCAUCAUCUUCUAUCUUUGCACUAGUUUAAAUCAUUCAAAUAGUUUAAGG
RNAcentral lists this long non-coding RNA (207 nucleotides) under Phoenix dactylifera (date palm). Its description in RNAcentral is "long non-coding RNA (PDAC_LNC002363)". The record is from RNAcentral. Lineage: Eukaryota; Viridiplantae; Streptophyta; Magnoliopsida; Arecales; Arecaceae.